RNAcentral lists this long non-coding RNA (2229 nucleotides) under Helianthus annuus (common sunflower). RNAcentral's name for it is "hypothetical non coding rna". Lineage: Eukaryota; Viridiplantae; Streptophyta; Magnoliopsida; Asterales; Asteraceae. The record is from RNAcentral.
AAAUACUACAUUUGAACAAAAGAAAUUACACUUUAAACCUUCUAAACUCGAACCAAAUCUCAUAGUGAUUGAAAAGUAAACUAUCAUGAGUAUGUUUUCCCAUAUAUUCAAGCCCUAAACUUUUAAGCCUCUUACUACACUCGUCCCCUCCCAAUCUCGAACAAAAUUUCACAUUGUGCGACACAAAUAUUCUUCCAUCCAACGGUUUUAAUCUACCAACCAAUCGUUCUAAUCCAACCCACACAAGUUUAUCAGGCAUAUGAAGAAACACAGCACUAGCAUAUAUCAAGUCAUAAUCGAAACCCGACCCGAAUCUUUCAAAAACCAUAUCUUCACCUUUUACAAUCAAAGGGCGUUUUUGAAGUAACCCGUGGGCCGGAAGUUCAUACCUAAAUGCAGCCAUAAGAGAGAGCUCGUCUCUUUCUAGACAGUGAAAGUGUUCUGGGAUCAAGUAGUCGAUAAAAUGCAGCCCAACGCGAAGGGUGCCGCAACCGAUUUCGAGAACGCGUGAUUCAGGGGUGAUUUUGGAAGAUUCUGCAAGAAAUUCGAAGACGUCUCGACCACCAGCCCAGGGCUCACCGUAGUUACUGUGGUGCUCUUCCACUAGGAGUUCAUUAGGGCAUGGUAAUGAUGUGUGGUUCUUUGCUGCUGCUUCUUCUUCAUAGUGUGAUAUUCCUUUGUACCUGUUGAUGCUGGGUCAUAAUGAUCGGAUUUAUCAGUUGUUACUAGGGCUGCAAAUGAACCAAACGUUCAGCGAACAGUUCGUGAACCGUUCGGCGAACAGUUCGUUCACUUGUUAAACAAACGAACACGAACAAGAAUUUUCGUUCGUUUGGUUAAAUGAACAAAUAUGAACAGAGGCCACGUUCGUUCAUUUAUGUUCGUGAACGUUCGGUAACGUGUUCGUUUGUGUUCCAUAGUUCGUUAGUGUUUUUAGCUUUUAUAUUUUAUUUAAAUACUUCAAAAAUCCGACAAAUAAAAUAUUUAAUAAGCGUCAGUGUAUUAAACAUUUUGUUCUUGAAUGCUUGUUUGUGUUCAUUUGUUUCCAUUUGUGUUCAUGAACAUUAGUUUGUGCUCAUUUGUGUUCAUCAACGUUCGUUUUGUCCAUUGCCUAAACGUUCGUGUUCGUGUUCAUUCGGUUCAUUUGCAGCCCUUGUUACUGCAAAAAUAACUCGAUUUAAACCCUAAUUCACGAUAUCGUAGAAAUAAUUCGAUUUAAACCCUGAUUAACGAGAUAUGUAAUCUCAGGAGACCAUAAUUUGAUGUUAGAAUACUAACUUCAAUCAUAGUUGUCAAUAGCGGCUACAACGCUCGCUACAGUGCGCUAUGUAGCGUAUAGUUCAUAUGUCGCUAUAUAGUAUAUGUCGAUAAAUAGCAACAUUUUUUUAUUUCUAUAAGAAAUUUCUCAUCUCCACUGCUCAACACUUCAGGUUUGGCCUUAUAACAUAUAUUUUGCUCAUCUCUACCGCUCGACAUUUAUUUUUCUAUUCAUCUACUUAACCGCUAAACAUGAAAUGGCGGGCGCUAUUUCUUCGCUAUCGCUACGAAGCAUAUAAGUAGCUUGUCGCUACCAUUGUUAGCUAUUGACAACUAUGAUAUCAACAGAGCAGAUUGUAAUUCGCUCGAUUUAAACCCUAAUUCACGAGACUGUAAUCUCAGGAGACUAAAUCUAAUGUUAGAAUACUAAUUUCAACAGAGCACAUUGUAAUUCACUCGAUUUAAACCCUAAUUCACGAAAUCUCAAUCCACGUACACAAUAACGUAUGAUUAGAAUACUGAUCUCAACAAAGCAUAUUGAAAUUCGCAACUAUAUACGCAAACUUGAAAAAAAUUCAGUAAAUCACAAAAACAAAAUCAAAGAGACGGAAUGAAGUAAUAUUACUGGAUCAAAUCCUGGAGUUGCUGAGCACGAGUGCGAGGAUUAAUGCCUUUACGAAGAACAUUAUCUUGCAUAUGAAGUCCGUUGACUUCGAUCUGAGAUUUGACCCAUUGUAUAUCCUCCGCCGUUGCAGAGAUCUGUUUCUGUUGUUGUUGUUGAGGGCUAGUUUGGACGGUGGGACAAGAACAGGGUGGAGGAGAGUAUGAAAGGGAGGACAUGAGAAAGAAGAUGAAUAUGACGGCGCCGGAGACGGAGAGGAUCAACGUCGGAACGGUUAUCACGACGGUUUUCGAUGGCGCCAUGUGGUAGUGGCAGUGAAGUGGAAAGGAAGGAUGCGUAGAUCUCGACGG